GGAAGAUGGGCUGGAGCUGGGUUCUGGUCGUGGACACCGGCAGGUUCUCCCUCCCCCUUGGCCCUCCCCCAGGUCUCUCGGGACAAAUGCUGGACCCAGAAGCCCAGUUCCCGGACCUGGGAGAGGAUGUCUCCUUCUCCAGGCCCCACCCCUCGCCGCCCUGUGGUCCUCAGCCUGGAUAGACCCUCAGCCUGGGACCUUCAGCCUGGGUGGACCCUCAGCCUGGAUGGACCAUCAGCCUGGAUGGACCCUCAGCCUGGGACCUUCAGCCUGGGUGGACCCUCAGCCUGGGUGGACUCUCAGCCUGUGAUCUUCUGGAGCUGGGGGUCUCCUUGAGGGUCAAGAAGUGGUGCCAGGGGCACGGCCAGAUGUCCUGGAGAGGACUGCAGAGUGUCCCAUCAAAGGACAGGGCUCAGCCUUGGCUAAGGAAGAGCGCACAGAGCUGGCGACAGAGGAAACCAAGGCCGGGCCUAACCAGCAGCACAGGCGUGGAGCCGGCAUGGGGCUGCCUGACGAGCGUCCUCCCCGGAGGAUGGAUUGGGGGUCCUCUCCCUCCACCCUGGCCCACCCUAGCCCAUGGAGCUGGUGGGGGGGCCGGGAGGGAGGCACCUCAGGGGCGCGGCCUCGCUGCUGAAAGCUCUGUGGUUCUCCGAGGACAGGGCAUCCUGGGUGAGGUGGCUGGGACGUGGGGCGCAGGCUGGGCAUGGGCUCAGGGAGG
RNAcentral lists this long non-coding RNA (718 nucleotides) under Equus asinus (donkey). RNAcentral's name for it is "lncRNA (ENSEASG00005032871.1)". The record is from RNAcentral. Lineage: Eukaryota; Metazoa; Chordata; Mammalia; Perissodactyla; Equidae.